GAUGAACGCUGGCGGCGUGCUUAACACAUGCAAGUCGAACGGAAAGGCCCAAGCUUGCUUGGGUACUCGAGUGGCGAACGGGUGAGUAACACGUGGGUGAUCUGCCCUGCACUUCGGGAUAAGCCUGGGAAACUGGGUCUAAUACCGGAUAGGACCACUUCCUGGAUGUUGUGGGGGAAAGUUUUUUCGGUGUGGGAUGAGCUCUCGGCCUAUCAGCUUGUUGGUGGGGUGAUGGCCUACCAAGGCGUCGACGCGUAGCCGGCCUGAGAGGGUGUACGGCCACAAUGGGGCUGGGAUACGGCCCAGACCCCUACGGGGGGGAGCAGGGGGGAAUAAUGCAACAUGGGGGCAAGCCUGAUGCAGCGACGCCGGGGGGGGGAUUACGGCCUUCGGGUUGGAAACUCCUUUCGCUAGGGGCGAAGCGUUUUGUGACGGUACCUGGAGAAGAAGCACCGGCUAACUACGUG
This 467-nucleotide ribosomal RNA is filed under the name uncultured bacterium. RNAcentral's name for it is "partial 16S ribosomal RNA". It matches the Rfam family "Bacterial small subunit ribosomal RNA", at positions 28 to 507 of the family's 1533-position model. The record is from RNAcentral.